Molecule: long non-coding RNA, 7075 nt
Organism: Piliocolobus tephrosceles (Ugandan red Colobus)
Lineage: Eukaryota; Metazoa; Chordata; Mammalia; Primates; Cercopithecidae
Exons: 2
Source: RefSeq, a predicted model, not a curated record
CCUGGGGGCCGUGGCUAGUCCCGGAAGGCGGAGAGCAUGUGUCCGUAGAGAUAGUGGGAGUGAGCUGAGGGAGAGAGAGAGACAGGCAUCACACUGUGAGACAGGUUGCAGAAUGUGUGCGGCAGCGGCAAUGCAGCGUGCUCCAAGCACAAAGCGCCCCAGGCCAGACGAAGCAGGAAGGGGCAAGCCGGGCAGUGCUGGUACCUCUGUGAAGAAAACACUGCCACAAAAAUUCCUAAGAGUGCCCUGUGUCUCCCUGAGGCAGAGCAAUCCUUCUACAAAGGUGGAUUUUAACCCUGUUUUAAACCCUACUAAGAAACGGUGAUCUGACUGAAGACGGAGCAGCGAAAAACAAACACUCUGGGCUUUCUUUUAACUUGUUAGGAACCAAAUCAACCAGGGCAGACCUGACAGGCAAGGGCAGUGAUAGGAAAGUGAGGAGGGAGGAGGAAGGGAGGAAGAGGAGGUGGGGGCCAAGGAGGGGAUAUGACCUCAGCAAACCAGUGCAAAACAAAACAAAACAGCAGGAUGCUUAGGUUGGCAUCUCAAAGGGGACCAUACGGCUCAGAAUGCCCUCGACUCAAGGGGAAGGCCUGAUGAAAUCAAGUGCAAGGGAGUUCCUUCAGUGACCAGGAGGGUGGAGAGAGGAAAACUUUAACUUGGUGUGAAGGUAGACCCGAGGGUAAAACUAGAGAAACCUGGGAUGGUAAAAGCCCGAGCGUGUGUUUAGCUGUGCAGACUGCACUGGUGAGCAGGAGAGCAAACCUGUCAUUUAACGACCUCAGCAGGGCAUCUGCCUCCACACACCCACACUCCUGAAGGAUGGGCUGGAAUCUUACUGAGCAGGCUGGAGGUGUGCUGAGCUCUGCACUGAAGAAAUACUGUCUGAGACAUCAAGAAAAAGGUGUGAUCCCAAAGAUAUGGCCCUUGGGGAAAAUCUUUGAUCCUAUGUGGAUAGGAAGGCAGGGCAUAGAAUUGGAAGAUGCUAGAAGUACAACACAUGGGCCUUCAGCUUUUGCACAGGAGUUUCACAGAGACUUCUCCACAGCCUAUUACUACCCCCGACAAGUUCUUCUAAGGCUGGUCCACUUCCUCAACCCCCUGACAUUCAUUAUCCCCAUCCCCUCUGGCUCUCCUCCCUUAGACUAGCCUUCCAACAAUUAGCCCAGGGAAGGCAGAACUCAUGAACUUCAAUCCAAUUAAGAUGACCAAAUCCCCAAGGUUCCUAAUUCAUGGCCAGGUACUCACAUCAUCCAGCUUCCGGUCUGUGCCCAAGGCCAACAGGUUAUUGAACUCUCUUUCCAUCACUUGGCGUGCCUAGAGUCCAUAGAGCAGGAGAGGGAAAGGUGGAAAGGGCUAUAGUUAACUACCUUUAUGCCAUCUUUCACCAUUUUCCUAGGGUCCAAGGGCAGAGAUACAAGGCUUCAGUGCAUUUAGCCUGUUAGAGGCCUUUACACACCUUUCUGAAGCUGCUCCUUCAAGCAAACUCAUAAGUAAAGCUGUAAGCCUAGGAUUCUUUCAUAUACAGCAAAUUAGAAAAACGUAAUUUUUUUAAAAAGUAGCAGCCUUGGCAACAUAGUGAGACCCUGUUUCAAAAAAAAAAAAAAAAUUCAUUAAAUGGGCGUGGUUGUGAACACCUACAGUCCCAGAUACCGGUUGGGCAGGAGGAUAGCUUGAGCCCAUGAGUCUGAGGCUGCAGGGAGCUAUGAUCACAUCUGCACUCCAGAUUGGGCGAUAGAACAGGACCCUGUCUCUAAGAAAAAAACAAAUAAGUAGGAUCAUAGAACACAUAGAUAAAGAGACUUCACCUACUUGGAAAAAAAAAAUUGAAAGGGGAAAAUCGUGCCUGUCUUUCUGGAGGGGUACGUAAGCAUGUAAACCGUGGAUAACCAGAAUGUGACUGAUUUGGAUUAAAUAAAUAUAUCUGAUACGUUUUCACAUCAAAAACUUAAAAUUAGGAAGCCUGCUCAACUAUGGAUAUUGGUUGUCCCUGGGCUGUGUGCAUACACACUUUCUCUAGGCCUCCCAGGAGAUUAAUUCAUUCACAGUUUCCAGAAAUGCCAGAAACAGAAAAGUUUUCAAAGCUGCUACCAGAUAUUUUUAGUCCUUUUUUUUUUGAGUGAAACAGGGUCUCAUUCUGUUGCCCAGGCUGGAGUGCAGUGGCACAAUCAUGGCUCACUGCAGCCUUAAACUCCUGGGCUCAAGCAAAAUUCCCGCCUCAGCCUCCCCAGUAAUUGGGACUACAAUCAUGCAUUACCAAACUCAGUUAAUUUUUUAAACUUUUUGUAAAGACUGGGUCUCACUAUGUUGCCCAGGCUGGUCUUGAACUCUUGACCUCAAGCAGUCCUCCCACCUUGACCUCCCAAAAUACUGAGCAUACAGGCCUAAGCUACCACAUCAAGCCAUUUUUAACCAUUUUAAAUGAGGGAUUCCAUAUUGGGUCAGACACUACUUCUUCCAACAGCUCAAUGACUGGGUCAGGAAAUUAAGAAAGGUUAGAGAGCCAUGGAGAGGUGUCCCUUCUGCUAUUUACAGAAUUAUCGCUUUCCUCCAAAAUUGAAUGCAUUAGAGAUAGGAAAUCAAAGAAACAGAAAAGUCCAUUUCUGGGUAGAAAAUAUUACGCAUAGAGUUCCAUAAGGACAGUCUGGGCCAGUAUUGGGAACAUAACAUUUUUAGAAAUGAUCUGAAAGGAGAAGCAUAGUAAAUUUCAAGUAUCCAAACAACACUGCUCCUCUGGGCAGUGAAAGGUGAGGAGGACAGGUGUACAUUUCAGAAGCAUCUCACAAAGCGAUGUGAGUAGGUAGGAAAGUGGCAGAUGAGGCUUGUCCAAAGUGGGCAAGUGGAGAAAACUGCACUUGGGGGAGAAAUCCAGGCUUCUCUUGGAGAAUGAAGGGAUCUGUCCUAUCCGUUUUGACUGGCCGGGGUGGGGGUGGGGGUGGGGGUCACUGCAGAAUGCCUACAGGACACACUGGCCCUGUACACUGCCACCACCUCUAAAAGGCCAACACACUGCCCAGAAUUACGAGACAACACAGCCCUACCCUCACUCGAGCCAAAACGUGUCUGCUCCCAGAAUAGCCUGUGCAGCUCUGGUGGCUGAAUUUCAAAAGAGAUCUGACAGCUGCAAACAGUCCAGACAAGGGCAGCUAAAACAAUCAGGGGACAGAGGCAAGUCUGUAUGAGGAAAGCCUAAAAGAAUUAAGAACGCUCUGUCUGGAGAGACAAAGGCUUGGGCCCAGAGGCAAUACAAUCAGAGUUUAUGAAAUCAUAAAAGGUGAGAACUGGUUAAAUACAAAUAGCCUUACCAAACCUAACUAUUAGGAGGAGGUAGUUCCUUCCCCAGGGGCCUGACAGGGGCAUUCUUAGGACAAAUAAAAUCAGGAAGUACUCUACACAACAAGCAGCGUUUCUAGAAUCUAUUAUCCACAGGAAGUUAGAAAGGCCAAAAGUAUAAAUAGGUUCAAGAAAAUUUAGAUAUAUUCUUAGAUGACAGCUCCAUAAAAAUGAUGAAACAUAAUUUCACGAGAUGUUUAAUCAUUUGAGCUGUUGACAGAGAGCCAAAGCCCAGGCAUGGAGAGGCUCUGGGCUGUGUAAUUUGGUAUAUUUUGCUUUUUUAAGCCCGGGGGCCCAGGAGCAGAUCCCUAAGGUGGUAGACAAAGGUGAUAUGGGCUCUCUGGUCCCUACGGGCCGUGGGGCUCCUUCCCCUCUAAGAAAAGUCAGAUCAGAGAAGCUGGAUGAAAAGGAAGGCUCAGCGUCUCAGCUAUGAAGUGGGGUUAGGAGGAGAUGGAGGUACCCAGGGCAGGAUGGGGAUGUGCAUUGUAAGAGCACACUGUGUGCCAGGCCCAUGCUAGGUGUGCUCUGUAUGUGAAGACCAUGUGUUCCCAUGAGGGCUUGCUUAUGCACAGGGGACCACUUAGAGGAGGAUUGAGGACAUUGCGAUUCCCUCUGGCAUAAGCCCUAGAAAAGCUCCCCACCCUCAAGAUACCUAAGCCUUUGUGUAUGAGGGAAAGAAAGAGAGCAAGUAAGGGAGACAGGGAGAGACUGAGGUUGACUGAUUAAAAGGCUACCCACCUGGGUGUUCUGUGUGGGGAUCUGGAGGAUCAGGGCCAGUGUGUUGUGGUCGAAGUUCUCGUCCAGGGCCAGCAAGGCUCCAUGCACACCACUCUCAUGCAGGUUUCCGGCAUAAUCCCGGAGCCCAAUAGACUGAACCCAAUGAACCACCUGGUCGUUGGUCCAGACUAGCACAUCUGGAGUGUGGGGGAAGAAAAGGGAUGGAAGAAGAUACUACAUUUCAUCAAGGGCCCUCCAAGGACAGAAGCAGAACUCCCUAAACCCAGAGCCCCAGUCCACCCUGCUCUCUGGCCCCCACCCCAUCCCCAGCUUUUCGUAUCUUCUUUCUGUCCUCCCUGGAGCCUGGGCUCCUGGGGAACCAACCCCCCCACUCAUUUCAUCCCUGCCAGUUUACAGGACCUGGGGUCAGGCCAACAGGCUCUGAGCUUUCUCCCCAGAGCCCUUGCACGGGUCAUCCCCCUGCCACAAGCUGGAAUAGUCUUCAUAUUCUUUCCACCUUCAAGGUCUUCUCUAAGAUUUGCAUCUCCCAUCCAACCCCAUCCAGAUCACCAAGUUCCACAAGCACACCAGUCUAUAACACUGUCCCAGAGGAUUCAUUGCAUUUGUCCAGUUAGUGGCUGCAGUCUGGUAUGUGGGGUGGAGGGAGGGGAUUAUAGCCAACUUGGCAUGGACCAUGUCUCCUCCAUCAGACUGGGAGCUCCCUAAGGUGAGGCUGCAUCUUCCUUGUCAGACUGGAAGAUUCACUGAGAGAGAGAAUGCCUCCCCUCCACUUGGCCCAAGGCAGGGACCAGCCAAGCAGGCUACUCCUGCACCCUCUCCAAGCCUGACAAGCUUACCCUUGAUCUCGUGCUGGCUCUCCUCUCGCCUCUUCUCCAGCUCCUUCCGGUCAUAAUUCAGCCUCUUCAGACACAUGAUGCCAUACUGAAGACUGGUUCUGCAGGCACACAGCCCCCGAGCCAGAGCCUCAGUGGGGCCACACUCCCACACUACCUGUCUCACAUCCAGCACCAGCCACAGCAUGUCCAGACCUACUGCCUCCAGCACAAAGAGCACCCCAGCCUCCCCAUGCUCCUCCUUCCCCAGGGGCUUGCCUGCAAACCAUCCCAGGGUUACUCCCUUUCUCUGUCUAACCCAUAUCCUCCCUCUCAGUCAGGAAGCAGGCCUGGAUUGAUGGGAAAAAAGUUCUUUGAAUGAAACCAACAUGUCCCUCUCUCCAGGCACUGGAAUGACAAAGACCCCUACCACCUGCAAGUGAAAGAAAAAGCAAAAACAAGAUACCCCUUUGUAUCCCUACUUCACUCAGAGUCCUUACAACGGCCUAUAAGAUACUCCAUGAUCUGCUCCGCCACCUGUCUAACAGCUGCUUCAGCCACUCUCCCUCUUGCCCUCUCUGCUGCAGCCACACUGACACCCCUGCUGCUCCUCAAACACAGCAGGCUUACUGGGCCUGCAGGCCUCAGGGCCUUUGCACUGGUGGCUGCCUCUGCCUGGAACACUCCUCCCCCAGUCGGCUGUGUAGCUUACUCCUUUUGUCUCCAUUAAGUCUUUGCUUAAAUGUCAUCUUCUCAGUCCAAUUCACUAGUCACAGUGUUCAUCAGAUUUAGAAUUGCAGUAUCACCAUCACCACCCCUGGCCCAUAUUCCCAAUCCCUCUCACCCUGGUCUAAUUUUUUCCUAGCAUGUUUUGUCUAUUAACAUACCAUGUAUUUAUUAUUCCUUGACUGUCUCUUCCAGUUAGAAUAUAAGCUCUAUGAGGGCAGGGGUCUUUGUUCACUGAUCCUAAACCCCUAGCACAGAGAAGGGACUCUACAAAUGCUUGAUUAAUUAAAUGAAAUAAUUAAUUCACACAAAUUACUAAAAGCACUUAAACAGUAUCAGGUGCAGAGCAAGCAUUCCGUAACUAAGCCAGGCACAGAACCACAGAUUCUAUGGGUCAGAAGGAACCCUGGAGGCCAUUGGUCCACGCUCCCACCUAAGGCAGGAGUCACCCCUGCAGUUUCCUUCAGAGUAGUCACUGAGCCUGUAUCUGAGCGCCUCCAGGGGCAGCGAACUCAUUACUUCUCAAGGCAGCUCAUUCCCUCAUAGAAGAGCUAUAGUGUUCUUCCUUCCGUGAACACUACUUUGUCAUUCAGCUUCUCUGAGUUUUUCCAUCUUUACAGAAUUAGAAUGGAAGGUCCCUCCCAGCUCUACCUGCUUUUGACUCUUAUUGAGGGCACUGCUUUGUGAGAUUAAAUUGUGCAGCCUGCUCCCUCCUUUUCUCCCCUCACUUCUCAGCAGGAGGCUCUUCUGCCUAGAACAGAGCUCAGAGACGCCACUUCCAGGAACCCUUUUCUGGCCCAAGCCGCCCAUGUGUUGCUCAAGCCGCUGGUUUAAGCCUUGGUCCACUGUGAAGAGGCAUGUGCACACACAGCUCAUGACUGGAAAUGCCUUCUGUCUAAUUUCAAUCUCACUCACUAUAAUUUCCAGUCCAGUUCCUUUCAAAGCUGCUGCAUACCAUGGCAAAAAUAUAAAGCCCUUAAAGUUAAGUCAACCUGGGUUUAGAUGCCAGCUCUGCCCCUUCCUAGCUGAGAGGCACCCAGUAAAUGUGAGAUGGGGUCACACCUGUCUUGCAGGUGACAAUAAAUGCAAGGGCUUAGCCCAGCCUUUGGGAACAUUACAGGCACUCGGUAGUGGCAGCACUAUUAGGGUGACAUAUAUGACUAUCAUGCAUGCUUGUCCUACCAAAACAGGAGCUCUUCUAGAAGACCUGCUCGAUAAAGCACCAUGUCCCAAGGAAAAGAGCUCUGAGUGGGGUGUCAAGAGACAAGGAUUUGAGCCCCAUUCUGUAAUCACCUGGCUGGGUGACCUGAUGGAAAUCAAUCUCUAUUGAACUUGUUUUCCUUAUCUGUAAAAUAAGGUUUUAAAAUAGCCGUUUCUUAUCAUAAUAAUUAUGAUUUAAAAGAAAUUUUAAAGACGUAAGAACAUGCUUGUGAAAUGUUACAUGGAAUAAAAGCAGGUAGACACAU